This 305-nucleotide ribosomal RNA is filed under the name uncultured bacterium. Its description in RNAcentral is "bacterial SSU rRNA". It matches the Rfam family "Bacterial small subunit ribosomal RNA", at positions 336 to 658 of the family's 1533-position model. The record is from RNAcentral.
UUCCUACGGGAGGCAGCAGUGGGGGAUAUUGCACAAUGGGGGGAACCCUGAUGCAGCGACGCCGCGUGAAGGAAGAAGUAUCUCGGUAUGUAAACUUCUAUCAGCAGGGAAGAAAAUGACGGUACCUGAGUAAGAAGCCCCGGCUAACUACGUGCCAGCAGCCGCGGUAAUACGUAGGGGGCAAGCGUUAUCCGGAUUUACUGGGUGUAAAGGGAGCGUAGACGGCAGUGCAAGUCUGGAGUGAAAGGCGGGGGCUCAACCCCCGGACUGCUCUGGAAACUGUACGGCUGGAGUGCAAGAGAGGU